GGUAUUUUGACCGUGCAAAGGUAGCGUAAUCACUUGUCUUUUAAAUGAAGACCUGUAUGAAUGGCAUAACGAGGGCUUAGCUGUCUCCUCUCUCCAGUCAAUGAAGUUGAUUUCCCCGUGCAGAAGCGGGGAUAAUUACAUAAGACGAGAAGACCCUAUGGAGCUUGAGACGGUAGGGCAGCCCAUGUUAAACACCCCUCUAUGCCGGGCUAAACUAAAUGGCCCCUGCCUUAAUGUCUUCGGUUGGGGCGACCCUGGGGAAUACAAAACCCCCACGUGGAACAGGAGCACCCCCCCCCACCAACUCCUCCAAACUAGAGCCACACCUCAAAUUAACAAAACUUUUGACCAAAAUGAUCCGGCAAUGCCGAUCAACGGACCAAGUUACCCUAGGGAUAACAGCGCAAUCCCCUUUUAGAGCCCAUAUCGACAAGGGGGUUUACGACCUCGAUGUUGGAUCAGGACAUCCUAAUGGUGCAGCCGCUAUUAAGGGUUCGUUUGUUCAACGAUUAAAGUCCUACGUGAUCUGA
This 530-nucleotide ribosomal RNA is filed under the name Lepidorhombus environmental sample. Its description in RNAcentral is "partial 16S ribosomal RNA". It matches the Rfam family "Bacterial large subunit ribosomal RNA", at positions 1935 to 2608 of the family's 2925-position model. The record is from RNAcentral. Lineage: Eukaryota; Metazoa; Chordata; Actinopteri; Pleuronectiformes; Scophthalmidae.